GGUUGGGUUGUACACGACUCUCGGCAAUGGAUAUCUCGGCUCUCGCAUCGAUGAAGAGCGCAGCGAAAUGCGAUACGUGGUGCGAAUUGCAGAAUCCCGCGAACCAUCGAGUCUUUGAACGCAAGUUGUGCCCGAGGCCAACCGGCCAAGGGCACGUCCGCCUGGGCGUCAAGC
RNAcentral lists this ribosomal RNA (174 nucleotides) under Bulbophyllum wallichii. RNAcentral describes it as "5.8S ribosomal RNA". The stretch from base 16 to 171 matches the Rfam family "5.8S ribosomal RNA". Rfam says of the family: 5.8S ribosomal RNA (5.8S rRNA) is a component of the large subunit of the eukaryotic ribosome. It is transcribed by RNA polymerase I as part of the 45S precursor that also contains 18S and 28S rRNA. Lineage: Eukaryota; Viridiplantae; Streptophyta; Magnoliopsida; Asparagales; Orchidaceae. The record is from RNAcentral.